Molecule: long non-coding RNA, 18714 nt
Organism: Rattus norvegicus (Norway rat)
Lineage: Eukaryota; Metazoa; Chordata; Mammalia; Rodentia; Muridae
Source: RefSeq, a predicted model, not a curated record
GUGCAGCAACCUUUAAGUCUCAGCACUGCGUCCCCGGGCAACCAUAAGCCAGCAGUGGUAGCUUUUUCCUCCCUGGUUUCCAGCUCAAGUUGAGCAGAUUGGCUCGUUCAAUGUGUCUCUACUGCCUUUCGACGCAGUCGAACUUACAAAACGGAAUAGCAACGAUGCAUGGAGUUGCUGUUUUGCUGGGGUGUCUAUAGGAUUUUGUCACUGUGGAGGACUUGUCAGACAUGGCACGAAUUUGCCCGCCAUUUCUCCUCUUUGGAGGAGAGACCUUUACCUCUGAAGAGACGUCCAUACUUGAAGGCUGCAUGGGCUCUAAUACAUAGAGGUUCAGGAUUGCCUCACUAAAGGCCACCAAAGCAAUAAAUGGGGCUUGCGAGUACUAAGGUCAGAAGGCGGACAGGAACGGGCAGAUACCUCUGUGUGGAGGGUCACCAAGAGUUAGUCAUGCCCUCAGAGUCGUCGGCUGAUUCAUCCCAUAACAACGAGGGACACCAUCCUGAUCACUGAUAUGAGUAGUGAACCAACGGGCCGUCCUUUGCUUUGCAGGAGUAGGGACCCUAGUGCUGAAGGCUGGGUGGAUGGAGGCGAACUAUGGAAUGUAAGGUGCCAGGCCGGGGAACAAGAGUUAAGAGUACUGAGAGACAGUGUGAGCGUGCGCAGGGGGUGGGAGUGGGGUCUCCUUUCCCCAAACUAACCCUUGUUUUAAGAGUCAGCUUCCCUUUCAGUGGGAUCUUGCAGGUCCUGGGUAGUGACUCCCUCCCCGGCGCUCCCCAAACAAUCCUCUUUCAAAUGUAAGGUGUACACAUUGUUACGGCUUCCUGGACUCUUAGAUCUAAGGUCAGGCUUGCCUGUCUGCUGGCCGACUUACAUUUUCUAUCCUUCUGGACCGUGCACUCAGGGUUUAUGGGUCAGCACGUUUUGUGGCCCUGCAGUUUAUGAGAGUUUAAGGAGUGAGGCGAGGACGACAAAAUGCUAUUUCCUACCCACUCCUGGCCAUAGACAAAGCAGGUAAACAUCCGGAGGGUUCCCGCAAUCGGAGUCUUUAAAAGUCCAGUUCCAUUUUUUUCUGCUCUGCUGAAGAAAGGCCGGGGCGCAGUCGCUUCCAUCCAUUUGGCUCUAGACCUCCCCGUGUCUAGCUGAAGAGCCAGGGGCUUAGAAGUCUUUCUCCCUAGAUAAAAACUAGUUGAAAAUAAACCACACAAACACAAAAAGGUUAAAUCAAACAACUACGCAGUCUGAAUGCCGAAAUGAAAUGCUAGGACUUGGACCUUGAGGUGGGAUUUGGGUUCUCUAGUAUUCACUACUCUUGGCCACAAUGUACUUCCGUGGGGUCACCUCUCGCCUGCAGAUUCCCGGGGUGGGAGAUCAAGUAGCCCACAGCCAAUUCGUCUAGUUUGUGCUCCUCGCUUUUGUGUUUCGGAGAGCAGCAGGCUGCCCAUGCGCCUGGUUCAUUCCCGCGGGCCUAGGCAUUGUUUGGGGAGCCCACGUCCGCCUCGCUCGCCACCAGGGGGCGCCCGAAGUCUUACAGGAGUCUCCGGCAACACUGGGCUCGAGGUCUAGCUAGCUCCUGCCCGCCUGCUUGUCCGUCCGGCCGGCGGAAACCCAGGGAGCUUGUCUCAGACCCUUCCAACACAAGUACCGCUCGUCCUGGACUGAAGCUACAUCUUUCUCUCCAUUACGAGUCGUGCACCCUCCUUUCGCCCAUCAUCAGCCAAGUGCAUGCUUAUGUGACAGGCGUGCCUGAGCAGCAAGCCCGCUGCUGGGGAGCAGUGUAGUAGCCUCCCUCAGAGGGUGGACCACUGUCUCUGUGUGAAGCACAGCCCAGGGACACUCUGUGACCAUCCCUACGGUUCCUAUAGCCCAGAGGACAGAUCUCCGGGAGAAGCAAGCACUUUGAGUGCCUGGGUUAGCCUAGGCUCUUCUGCGCUUCAGGUAGGCUCCCGGGUUCACAGGUUUCCUUCCCUCUUUGCUAUUUAUUCAAAGUAGCAGGCCUUUGGCGAUGAGAGUCCUAGUUGAGCCUCUUCCCUACUCCCUGUGAAGGGAAGAUCCUAGUUAGUAAACGGUGAGAUUUACAGUGCCAGGCCCAGCAUUCUGUUUAGAGGACGCUGCUUAGGGUGCCAGGUCCUUUGCAAUAGAUAAGUCCCCUCCCGCCAUUCCUACCCCCAGGACAGUGCACAGGGGACAACCUCUACUCAAAUGCUGCAGGCCCGAAGAAGAGCCUCGGCAACUCCUGCCUUUGGUCCUGUUUUUACAUUUGGUGCUUUCUGUAUUUAAGGCAUUGAAGAAUCUUGAGGGACUAACAAAGCUUCCCUAGGCCCUCUGCUGCUUGGUUAACCCUUUGCUGGCUGCUAGGUUUCUGGAGAGGCAAGACUUUCACUCUCAAGUUAAGAUGCUUAGAGGAUCUCCAAGCUCUGGAACUUGUCAACCCCAGUUCUGCCCAGCAUCCGAGAGAGGGUGGCAGGGCAGCCUGGGUGCCAGGAGAGCAAGCUUCCUUCCGCACUCUGGAAUGGUGUCCCGAAAGCACACAGAAGCCCAGAAAAGGACAAAAAGCAAGAAAGCCUAGAAGCGCACCGGGUAUGUGUGGUUUCUUAAGUUCUACUGCUCAGGGGGCAAAUUUAAAUGGAAGUCUCUCACACCCUUCCCCUCAGUGUCCAUAUCACUGUCCUGUACUUCCUUUAGAGAGAAAAAUGUGCGUGUCCACUUCCCUUGUUAACAUGCAGGGCUGGGGACGAGGGGAAGGGGCAUGUAGGCUCUACAGCUGCUUUGGAGUCAAAUCUGGAGCAGCACCUAGUAGGGCAAACCCCCGAGGAACCACCUGACCAAUGUCAUCUUGUUCUUAGAAAUCCUCACUGCUACCCAGCAAGUGGCAGUGAUCAUUAUCCUUAAUCCCCCCCCCCCCAUUUAUUUACGAGGGUUGGUGGGCCACAACAUUCCUGUGGAGAUCAGAGGACAACUUUUGGGAGUUGGUUCUCUCUUGGCACCGGUGGACUCCCAAGAUAAAACUCAGAUGGUCAGGUUUGGUAGCGAGCAAACUCGCCCGCUGAACCGUUUUGCUGGUCCCUUGAUGGUUACCCUUAUUUUUCACAAUCAUAAGGAAACUGAGGCACAAAGGAACUGAUCCAUGUCACACAGUAAGUGAUAUAGCCGUCUGCUUUCGGGUCCUGUCCUUUUGGUUGUCUUCAGAAGUGUUAUUACUUGGCUUUUAUCCACAGACUUCCCUGGGCGAGGGCUGUCUUUUUCCAGUGUACCGAGGCCUGGUAAAGCUGCAGGGGGCCAGGAUGAGUUCUUUUUUCAGCCAUCUGGGGGCGCCAUUUCCCAAACCAGAGGUUGUCUCUGGUACAAGGAGAGUUGCUUCCCUCUUCCCUCCCACCGGUGGAAACUUUUGAGUGUUUUUUGUUUUUUGUUUUUUACCGGUUCUUACCGGUUGCUCAAGAGGAUGGCCUUUGGUGCACAUAGGAGCAACGACUUCAUUUCUUAGACUGUUCUUCAUCUAGCGGGUUCCCACACCAGAGGAAGCUACCUUCCUUCGCAGGCAAGUGCUCAAGCCUGGAGGCACUUCUCACCUGAGGAAUUUCUAGAACUUGGAGCACCAGGCCCAUGACCUGGUGCUUUGUGUUUCCAUUUUAAGAAUUGGCUAGAGUGAGGGCAAAGACUAUGCUAACAACUGGACGGAGCUCUCGCUCCUCAUUUAAGAUGUCAAGGGUCUCUGCGCCAACCUGGGAAAACCAGCCAAGGGAUCAGACCGGGAAAGCUUGCUGCCUGGCAGAGGUCUACUAGGGCAGGGAUUAGACUCAGCAUCCAGUUUUUGCCAUGGGGGACUUGGGCAGCCGUCAGGGGUGUGUGAGGCUAUGAUCUCCUGGGGACAAAGCCAGCUGAGCUCUCCUGUGUCUGACUUGAUGGCUACCUCCCCGCCAGAAGGAGCUUGUCUGGGAAGAACUAUAAUUGCUAGGCUCUCAGUGAGCCUUGUGUUUGGCAGAUUCCAACCGCCUGUGGAUGCCUGUCCCCUUCCCUGUCCCAAGUACAGCGAAUUUGCUCAUUGACAAAGGCCAAGAAGUCAAUGAAUGGAUACUUUGGAAGUUCUGUAGUAAACGGAUAAUAAGGGAGAGGUCGCUCAAUGGUUAGGAGCACUUGCUGAGGGGCCAGGUGUGUGCCAGCAUCCGAAUUAAGAGUGGUUCACACUCCCCUGUUAACUGCCGUUCUGGUACAUCCCGUGUCCACUGUCCUCCGCCCCAUAUGGGCGCUCAUGCGGUGCAUAUACAUGGAUUCAAGCAAACACACUGACACAUAAAAUAAAAAUGUUUACCUGACUGAAGGAAGCUGGACACCCUGAAGCUCACCUACAGUUCCAGCAUCAGGGAGAUUGAGACAGGAGCAUUGUCACGAGUUUCAGGCAAGCACUGGCUAUGUAGUACAUUCUAGGUUUGUCGGGGUUUCACAGACAAACCCUGAUUCAAAUGCAGAAACGAAUAGCAAUCAAGUACAGUUGCUCUGUCCUGAUGAAAACGUUCACACCCGUGAUCAUGGUCUGUGGUGGCCGAGGUACUCUUCCCUGGUCACGAGAAAGUUUGUCAGCAGCAGGCUGCAGAUGGAUGAGAAAAUUGCUUUAGAGAAGGUUGCUUUGGGUGUGCCUAUGGUGUGUGUGUGUGUGUGUGUGUGUGUGUGUGUGUGUGUGUGUGUGUGUAGGUUACAUAGAGAAGCUGUUUGUGGCUGGUUAUCUUGGAGGGCCCUGUUUCCAUUCCAUCUGUUCUUUCAAGAAGAGAAAUGACUCUAGAAUCUUGGAAGAAAGAGCAGAGAAUGCCUUGGCCUCCCUUGAGCUGCUUCUGCUUAAAAACAAACAAACAAAAUAAAUAAACAAAGGGUGCGCAGCAGCCACAAGCCCUAGCAGGGAGGGUCCCUUCCGCCACACCCGCCCCUAGGACAGGAGAGACCAUUUGCUUGUCCAUCCCUCACAACCCAAAAGCAGAAGCCUUUUAGUUACAUCCUAAGCUAUCACCUUGGCCCCACCACUCCCAAUUCCUGUAUCUGGGGGCUGAAAAAUUUGAAACCCAGGACAACCGUGGUGUAGACCUAGCCUGCCUUUUGCACCCUUAAUUCAAGGCUUACAGACACCUUCCCUUUCCUCUGCCCUGCUGGCUGCCUGCCCAGCUUGCCCUGUCUCUUUCUGGGAUCCCAGGAGUUCACUGCUCACUGAUGGGUUGCAACUGCUGAGGAGAUUCAUGAAGUAUGGCCUAAUUACUCACAUUAAAAGAUGCCGACUGGAAAUAGAAAAAGGCCGAGGUUAUUCAUAGAGGCUGUUCACCAACCCAGAGGCAGGGGAGAAAGGCUGGCUUGGUUGCCUGAUGCGAAUAGCAGGGACCACUGGUUAAACAGGUGCUGGCUCAGGUGAGAGCUGCAGCUACAGAAGGAGGGAGGUAUCAGACAGGAGCAGGCAAUGGGCAGAUGGGACCUGAGCCCCUGCGUGAGUGUGUGCUCCUCCUAGAUGGACUUCAGAACGGAGAACUGUUGCUCUCACUCAAUCAACUUUCCAGAGAUGCUUCUCCAUAUUUUGUAAUUUGCCUCUUUGGGUCUUUAUAAUUGGUAAAAUUCUUUUCACAGCCCAAAUAAAGACAUUUGUCAGAUUCAUUAAAUUGACUCAUCAAUUUAUGACAGGCUCAGCUUCAGUAAGCUGCAGGAUUUGGGCUGAUCUAGGGCUAAGCAUGCAACAUAUCACUUCAGACUGUGGUGUCCAGCCCAGGCAGAAUUAGCACCCUGGCUGAGUUCACUGGCACUAAGUAUUUAUAAAGUUUUCAUUAGUAAGCUGAAUGUUCCUUAGUAGUUUGUAAAUCUCCAGUUGUACAGGGAGGAGUCAAAUAUUUCACAGAAACAUUUGCAAAUGUUAAAUUGGGUUUUUGGUCCUUGGCCAGUCUGUGAAGUGUCUAGCAAUCAUCUUGGCUGUGUUGUGCAAAGUUUUCUGUUUUCCCCUUGUUUCUGUGAAGUUUUAAUUAGCUAAAGCGGUUCUCGGCAACUUCUACCCCAGAAGAAACCAAGAUAGAGAAUGCUUUGCAGUGAUGUAUUAUCCACAGGGGCUCAGGAACCGGCUGUCAUAUUUCUGGAUUAAAGCUGAAGAUGAACAGGCUGGGAUGGGCUGUGGUUUUCUUUUGAUCGACUCUUCUCUGCAAGCAAAUACCAAGACCAUGUCGGAGACCUUUCUGCGUGGUAGUAGAAUGACUGCCAAGGGUCAGAAGAAUGAAAAGGAACCAUGGUCACAUAGGAGGUCAGAGGAUGAACUCCUGAGCCAUAGCUGAAGAUUCACACAGAUAUGGGACUCAAGUGCAGUGCUGCACAAGGUACAUUCCAGUUCUUUGCUGGUGUCCAUUGCAGAGCAAGGAGACUUAUUCUUCUCUAGAACAUGCCAUGUGGGACGGUUGGUGUGAAUGGUCAAGAUCAUGGCUUCUUCACUGACCUGGCUCCUAUGCUGCUCUCUACGGGAUUUCAAGUCUCUCCUUCCCGAGCAGGCCUUCCCUUCAGUUGGCAAAUGGAGUCAACUCCUCUGUUUAUUAAAAAAUAUUUCUGGUCUGCAUCCCUCAUUAAUUUCCUUUAUUUGAAAGGAUUUUUUAAAAAAAACUUUGUCUGUGUGUGUGUGUGUAUGUGUGUGUGUGUGUGUGUGUGUUUUGUGUGUCUGCCUGUCUGUCUGUCUGUCUGUCUGUCUGUCUGUCUACCCAUGUGCAGGCCAGAAGAGGGCACCAGAAUCCCCUGGAGCAGUUAUAGGCAGUUGUAGACUGCCUGACUUGGGUGCUGGGAACUGAACUUGCAACAGCUCUGGGCUCUCCUUACAGCCAAGUCUUCUCCUCAGAUUCUUGGCUUCAUAGUUACCUUCUCUACAUCCUCAGCAGUAAUUUACAACUAGACCAGCAAGCCCUGGCCUCAUGUCAAAGGUCACUGUGGCAGUCUGGUGUGUCAGUUAACAGCAGGAGCAGAUUCAGUUCGUAUCCUUUUUAUAUUUACUUCUUUGUUAUUUUACAUGGGGAUUUUAUCAUGUAGCCCAGGCUAGCCUUGAACUCAUGAUCCUCCUGUCUCAGCCUCUCAAGUGCAGAGAUUAAAGACAUGAAUCAACAAGCAUGUUUGACUUCUCCAUGGCAUUCAAGGGAAUUUAUAUUUAGGGUAUUUCUUGAAGAUAAAUAACAAUAUUUAAGGUAAACGAUAGCUUCCCUUUUCUCAUGCCUUUCUAUUAUCACAGGUAGUAAUUUAAAUGGUUAAAUCCUAAACUCUUAACAACACUUACUAGAUUGCCUGCUCCAAGCAGUUUUGGGGCUUACAGAGAAUUUGAGUAGAAGGCAUUGAGGAUUCCCUUUGCUCCCUGUAGUUUGUUCCAGAUGAUACAGCUACAUUGUUAGUUUAUACCUGUUUACAAGUGCAUAAGGUCACACACCACUGUUACUAUACUGUAAAUAACCCUGGACUUCAUUCUCCUUCUCUGAGUCUUACUUUCUUCCCAUUGCCAUUUGUUUUAUAUUUCUCCCUUCUGUUGGCUAUUUUGUCAACCUCUUCCAUGGUGCUGUCUCUCUGGAAUCCUCUGGAUGUUCUCAUCUCCCAGGACUUCAGCUACAUUUCAUGACUGUGCACACACUUCUAUUUCAUUAUGGAUACUUCCUCUGGCUCACUUAAACAACAACAACAACAGCAGCAGCAACAACAACAACAACAAAUUUUGCAUGUACGAUUGUUUUGCUCGUCUAUCUGUGCACCACGUGUGUGUCUAGUGCCCUCAGAGGUCAGAAGAGGCUGUUGGAUUCCCUGGUAUUGAUGGUAUGGAUCAUUGUGAGCCUCUAUGUGGGUGCUGGCAACAGAACCUGGGUCUUCUGCAAGAAUAACAAGUGUUGUUAAGUUCUGAGCUGUCUCUCCAGCCCCUGCCCUUGCUCCUUAAACAUCUUUUACACAGAGACCUGGGCAACUCAAGAGAGGAAAGGAACAUUCAAUUAUGAGAAAUACUUUUCCUAUCCUGGCAUUGUUCUUCAGACAAACACCAGUGAAACGGCAAGGUUUGCUGACCAACUCUUCUGUAGAUGGAAAUUUCUCAACCCCAGGGUUGUGCACAGUAAGAUGUCUAGCUGCACGGUGAUCUUUUGCCCAUUAAUGACAUUAGACUUUUGCCCUUCCAUCCCUAGUCCCAGGUUAUAACAACAAAAAUGUCUCUAGAUACUGCCAAGUGUCACAUCAGGCAUUAAAUCAUGCCAUUGAGAAAUAUUGUGCUAUUACGAGGGGCUUUCUCGUCCCCAGGAGAACUGAGGAACUAUUGUGCGUCAUUGAAGAGUCUUAAAUCAUCCCUUACAUGGUGUCUAACGUACCCUCUCUUCUUUCCUACAGGGACACUUUGCACUUGAUUCUCACUGUCUUCCUAUGGUGCUGAGGUGCCUGCAUUCAUACCCAUAGCUCUCUUCCUGUCCCAAGGUUGGGUACCAUGUGUCAGUUUUAUAAUCCUAGUAAUGUUCCAAGGUGUAGCCAUUAUUAUGUCCAAUGUACUGUUGAGUAGAUGAACUACAGUGGCCUCUGCUAGUCCUCAUCCUCUGUGAUAAUUCUCACCAUAAUGUCCAUCUCUUUCAGACAGUUAGUAAGUCACUGCCCUUCCCCGCCUCUACACAGACCUGUCUAAACUCCACGAAGGCCAAUGCUGUGUUUGCUUUUUGCCUUUUGUAAUGCAUACCGAGUUUAGGAUGUCUGGUAUUUGUAGAGUGAAUGAGUGAUCCUGGGAGUGAAUGGCCGCCUGGAGCCAAGGGGGUGCUUGACAACAUCUGUAGCUGCAGCUGUUUUUGAAACAUCUUCAUAGGCCAUUCCACCAUUCAAGAAUAACAAAGCUGCUAAGAUGGGAUUCUUCUUAUGAUGUAGAUAAGACAACCAAGGAAGACCAGCAAGGCUGGACAUCUUAAGGACUUCUAUACCAUUAUGACAGAAUUUGGGAUUUGAUUUAUUAACUUUUCAUACAUCCAGAUUCUGAAGGGUUAGCAAAUGGUUUAGUGAUAUAAGAAACAAGAGAACAUGUGGAUAUUUUGUAGUUUUACGUGGGGUGUCAGAACUAUGAGAAAAGAUUACUAACACUGACAAGAAAUGGUUUCUGUUCUCCUUACCAGCUUUGCACGAGCCCACACAAUCAUUUGUACAGCUAGGGAAGUCAGUGCAGAAAACCUCAUAGGCUAGCUAGUGCUUACACUCACAGGAGAAAAUCACUGAUACUCUGAAGGACACUUUGUACUAAUUUACAACAAGGGCAUUGGCGGUUGAAUGCCAUCUGGAAAGCCCAGGUCAGGGGGCCAUAAGUAUUGUAGUUCAUGCUGUCCUUUGAAGGAUAGAGACUAGUAUAGACACCGCCCCAUCUUAGAGUAGGAACACAAGCAAAGGAAGAGGUAGAAGAAUUUACACAUGUGAGAAACCCACAUGGUGGGUAAAUUAUCAAUAUAUUCCUGAAAUUCCUAAGACAAGAGGAUGCUGAAGAAUGAAAGAUGCUUUAUUAGGACAGUGGGCUUCUCAGCUGGAGGCCAGUGGUCAAUCUUGGGUAUCAUUCUCACAAGUGUUGUCUACCUCUUUUGAGACAGGGUCUCUCACUGGCCUGAAGUUUACAGGUUAGGCUAGGCUAGCUGGCCAGUGAGUCUCAGGAAUCUUACCAUUGCUAACUUCCCAGCACUGGGGCUGUGGGUGUGUGCACCAUAGUACCAAACUUGACACUUUUACAUAGGUCCCAGCUUAGGCUCUCACACUUUCAGGGUAAGAACUUCACUAACAGAGCCAGCCCCUCUGCCCCACCUCAGAUUUAAACUCUGAAACAAUGAGAGUUUGAAUCUUAUAAAUCUGCAUAUGUAGAAGAGGAGGAGAUGCCAAGUCUUUGUGAUCUCUGCUAUAAGAUGCGCUGGAUAGGAGGACAGAGCUUUCACAGGUGAAUGGUUUUACUGUGACCUUUCCAGCUAAGGAAGGCACUCUCUAGUUAUACAAGGGAUGAAUGAGAACUCCCUUCUACCAUGAAAUUCCAACAAGAGAAAAGUCUUCUCAGGCCAAGAAACUAGCUUUUAUCUCAAGUGGCAUUUUCUGAAUUACAGGAAAAUUUUACUCUUGGAUGAUACCCAGGGGUGGGUGAUACCCAGGGCUGAGUAACAUCCGGGGAUGAGUAAUAUCCACGGGUGCAUGGUACCCUAGAAUGGGUGGUAUCCAGGGAUGAGUAAUACUCAGGAAUCGGUAGUCCCAGAGUGGGUGAUAUCCAGGGAUGGGUGAUACCCCAGGCUGAAUGAGACCACAGACAUGUAAUCUUUAUUUUACAUCUGAAAUAAAAACUCUGGAUGUGGGGAGAGAUGCACUGAGUGUUCUUAAUACAGAAAUGGAGAUAGACUCUUGAUAAUAUUUGACCUGCCUCUGAUGCCAGGUAAGGAAAUGCAGAUAAAUGUGAGUGUCAGGAGGGGGUUCCAAUAAUAGCAUAAAGGCCUGAAUUAUGAGCCUCUGACUCAGUGAUUAUUGAUCAAAUUCUUAUUAAGAUGUUCACCAAAGGAUAGAAAACCUUAUUGCCUAAAAUUACAGUAUUGAGAGGUGAUGGCAGCUGCUGGGAGCAGAAACAGCUCGGCUCUGUGGGAAUGGGUGCGUUACUUGGAGUCAUUGCUAAUUUACAAGGCCCCAAGACUUCAGUGUAUAACAGAAACUCUUGUAAAUUCCUCUUUAGCCAGAAGAAUGAUUCUUUUUUGUGUGUGUGUGUCAUCUCUGACCUUCAUAUUGAUAUGCUUGACCAUCCACAGGCAAAAGCAGAGAUGAUAUCCACAGACUGGGGAACCAGAAUGGAUUUGGCUGUUUUAGUUUAGAAGUUCCUCUGCAAAAGAAUCAAUGCUGCAGACCUGUAACAUGGUUGUUCAUUCACAAAGCAUGUGCAUGGCCUGCAUGUGCAUGGUCUGUAUGUGUAUGGUUUGUAUGUAUGUGCAGGAGUGAUUCUCUGAGAAUAAUCUGCAGAAGCAAAACAGAUUUGCUCCGGCAGAAGGAGCCCAGUGGUGGGAAGCAGCCGUCUGAGCAGAGGCUGAUCCACUUUUCUGGGCAUCACCUGCUGGCUGCCUACUCCGAGUUGGAGCCCCUCCACUGGGAUGUGAUUUUAUGGGGUUUAAUGUAAGGUGCUGUAUUUCAUGAGAUGAAAUCAUAACACAGUGGGCUGCAAGAGCCUUGAGAGAUGGUUUCUUCAGAGUGUUGGCAAGCAUCGUCCUCCAGAGAAUGGCUUUGUCUUAAGCAGAAAUAUAGACCUUUCAUAGAACUGGAAGGAUAGCAAAUUCAUAAUCCUUUCUAGACAGCUAGGGCUUGGAUGGUUGGGCUGACAUGGAAUGCACACGGCUGGUUUGACCUCUCCAGCUGAACUGUUUUUUUAAAUCUGUAACUCUGACUGUAUCCUGAGACCCCAGGGUAUGUGGGACGUGCAUUUUGGGGUGGCCUCACUUCUAAGUCAUCAUUGAAGCUUGUUUCUAUGUAUAGAUGGUUCUAUUCUCAACAAAUUUUGACAACUCGUAUGAACAUUUGACCCAAACUGAGAACACUAUCAAGCACCAUCUCAGGUUUCCUUCAUCUCCUCUUCUUGUUAGUGUUUUCAGGGAAAGGUUUCUGUCCGUCUCUGCUGUAGGGAAGGGAAACUGAGCCAUUUCCUUGUCUUAGGGUGGACCUUUCCCCCUUCAUUCUAAAACACACACACACACACACACACACACACACACACACACCACACAUACACACACACAGAGACACACACUCACCACAUACACACACCACACACACACAUACACACACACAGACACACACACACAUACACACAGACACACACACGCAGACACACACACACAGAGACACACACAUACUCACCACAUACACACACCACACACACACAUACACACACAGAGAGAGACACACAUGGACAUACACACACACAGACACACACAGACACACACAGACACACACAGAUACACAGACACACACACACACACACACACAUACACACUCCUGUCGUCAGGCUGAAUAUCUCCUCCCUUUCACCCCCAGUUUCCCUGCAACGCAGCAUCUUGGGCCAGGUUUCUUGUGAAUGGAAAGGAAACAAUACCCCAUGAGGGAAGAAUCUGGUGUCUCUUCUGAUUUUUGUUGUGUGUGAAAGGGGUUUGUGUCCUCUGCAGCCCAGAGCCUUUUGAAACAUGGUUCAGGCAAGACUGUUUGGAAACACAAUUAAUUCAGCAUGGGAAUCUAGCAAAGCCAACUGGAGCCCCAUGGCACAUAGCUCAUUUUCCAGGGAGGUUUCCGCCUUCCUUCUUUCAGAAGUAAUAGUUGAAAUCUUACAACUUUAAGGAGGUCUGCACCGGCUGUCAUAUCCUCUCUAACGAUAAAAAGAUGUGCACAUCAGGACGGAUGCGUUUGUAUCAAAUUGUGUGCUUGAUGUAUCUCAUGCGGAGCCCCCAGGGGAUUCUCAUGGCAGCCCCGAUGAAAUUCUUGUUACCGAGGAAGGGAGGCAGGGGUCAUGAGUUAUUACCAUCAAGAAACAAAUGUUACAUUCCCUAUCAUCCUCAAACGCUUUCUCAGAAAUACAAGUCAGAACAGGCUUUCCUGUGAGACGAUCUGGCCUGCAGGAUGCUGGGAGUCAAGCCCAAGGUGUACAGUAUGCCCUGUGGCCAACAAUGGGGAGAAAACUCAUUUGUACCUGUAAGUAGUCACCCAUCUUUAACCUUCCUUCCUCAAAGAGGAUAGUAGAAAAAGGGUGACUUGGGGUUGGGGCGAUGGUUCAGUCAGCAGAGUCCUCACUGUGCCAGUGCUGUGUUUGGGUUUCCAGAAUGCUCGUCAGAAGCCAGACAUGUGACUUCAGGCAGGUUAAGGGUUAGUAGCUGUCAGAUAAGUUGAUACCAGAAGUUCAUUGGCUAGCCAGCCUGGCCCAGUCAGUGAUCCCCAGGUUUGCUGAGGGAUCCUGUAUCAUACAGUAAAGGCAGAGCACGGUUAAAGAAAGACAAUCUGCUGUGGGCCUUGGGUCUCCACACAUGCGCACACAAAUACCGCAGCACACGCAUGCCCACAAACAGCAGCGGUGGAGACUUGCAGACUUUUUGAGGGCUCAGACCAGGAAGGGGACGUUUUGAUAAGUUGAACAGCCAGGACUAGGAUCAGGGAAAUGUAAGAAUCUGGUAGGUUGAGAUCGAGCGUUUAAUAGCUGGCAGCUUGCUGAGUGUAUCGGGUGAUUAGUAUGUCACGAGGGAGAGUUCUGAGUCCCUGCUUGCUGAGAAGGGUACUUGGUUCCCUUGCAUUUCUCAAACCCCUUCCAUUUGAGUGUUCCUCCCAAGAGUGGUUCUCUUCAAAUUGUUUUAAUGAAAAACCUUAGUUUUGUUCCUAUUUUCUUUCAUGGGGGGAGAAUUUUAUGAACCCUUGAAUUGCCUCAGUUGCUUGUUGUGUGGGCGUGUGCAUGAGUGUGUGUAUAUGUGUGUGCAUGUAGGUGAGUCUCUCUCUCUCUCUCUCUCUCUCUCUCUCUCUCUCUCUCUCUCUCUCUCUCUCUCUCUGUGUGUGUGUGUGUGUGUGUAUGUGAGUUCGUGUUUCUGCCCAGAGGACAACUCUCAGGAGUCACUUCUCUCUUUCCAUCAAGUGAGUCCCAAGCUCAAGGAUGGAACUCGGGUCACCCGGCUUGGGAUCCCAGGAAUGCCGUCACACUCUGCUGCUUAUUUAGAUUUUCAUCCUGCUCCUGCCAAUGACCUACCGUGGAUCCAGGGGAGAACCAAAGAUGCCUACCUCAGUUCUAAGGAAUUCAAUGGAUAUCUGCAAAUGAAAACCUUAGACCAGUUACCCUGGCAGUAACGGAAAGUCCACGAUCUGAAGUUGAUGCGUGCUUCUGUAAAUGACAGCUCUGUAGAAGUGGGGCAAUGCCUUUUGCCUGUUCACAAUUCGCAAAUUACUUCUUUUGUUUUCAGUUUAAAGUAAAAAAAAUACAUCAAGGCAAAGACAGAAGCAAACAGUACAAAGUACUAGGAUUUAGGACAGAGAGCAUUUAGAACAAAGAGGACUUAGAACAAAAACCCAUGAGCCGACCCGUGUGCUGAAACAUUGGCCUUCGGAAGCUCUGGGAAUAUUUGUUUCCUAACCUUCUAGUAGAUUCUUGUGCCCGUUUUCUCUGCUCUCUCCUAUGGGAAAAACUGCUUUCUCCUAAUGUUUCUGCAUCCCUUUCCUUGCCGUUGAGGUCUUUUUCCUUCUCAGAAGGCAACUGUUACUAUCAGGGUAACAGAUCCAAGCUUUCUAUCUACAGAGGUCCAGUGUUUUCCGUGUCCUAUCGGGGGGGGGUAAGUUCCUCUGCUCACCCCGUUUCUCUUCCUUGGUGUCCUUUGCGUGGUUUCCCACCAUCCUCUCAGCUUUAUCCUGCACCGCUGGGGCUGCAGGUCUCUGUGGUCUGUCCUUUUCGUCCAAUUUCCUCUUUCUUUUCUUGAUUUAAAAUGUGUCUGAGCUCAUGUCUGUGUGGAUGUCUUUACUUUCCGUGAGACAUUAGUGGGUCAGUCAUUGUAAGUGAACCUGUGCUGGGCACCAAGGAUGUGUCUGCCUCACACAAAGUCCAACCUGAUAAUUUUGCUUUCGGGGGUCAUUUUGGUAGUGUUGGGUCUUUCAACUCUGGGCAGCAGGAAGGAAGAAAGAGAGGGAGGGGUGGGGGGAGAGGAGGAGGGCAGAGAGAGCUUUAUAGGGAGAUUAUGAAAUAUUGAGUCAUGUCUACCUGAAUGUUUCAAGAGGGACCAAGAAAUUAAGCUCAACUGGCACCUAGGACAGGGAGAGGAGCUGAGGGGCCAUUCCAGAACAGUCUCUUUUCCAUUUCCUCAGCAGGAAGGCAGGUUUGUGCAUGGCUCACUUACUCAUCACUCUUUAAAUUGGCUUUUGAUUUAAAUAUAACUUUUAAUUGUUUUGGAGAUAGGGUUUCUAGCCCAGGCUGUCUUUGAACUACCAUUAGCCCAAGACCUUGAACUUUUGACCCUUUUAGGCUUCCACCAUGCUCUGAGGUGCCGAGGAUUGAGUGCAGAGUCUUGCUCAUGCCCAGUACGUACUCUAUGAACUGAGCUGCAAACCCUGCUUCUAAAGUGACUUUUAAUUGUCCAAGUGGGAACCAGAACGACUUCAAAAAAUAGCUGAGGAUAAACCUGACAAGUGGAUUUUUGCUUACCAAUGCUUUCAGUAUAGGUUUAAAAAAACCACUCUAAAUAUAAUGCUUAUCCAACAUGGAAAAUGUCAGACUCCAAAAUUACAAUUACCCUGAUUUACCAGAGCAAAGGAAGUCAACAGUUUAGUUCUUCUGCUAUUUCUCCAGCAUCCCCAUGUGCUUGUUUAAUUUGAGUUUUGUUUUGUUUUGUUAGUUUCUGCCCACUAGUUUAUUCCAAAGCUAUAUUGUAUUUCACAGGAAGUGUUCUCUCCUCUCUAGGCCUUCAAAUUGCCCUGAUGUUUGGCUCUUAGAAGCACUGCUCUUGUGAGGUUUUCAAAGUCAUAGUUUUAAUCUUCUGUACCUAGAAUUUUACUGUGAGGGUCAUUAUUGAAGAACAUACAUUUUCAAAGCUGUUAGUUUACCAGACUGCUUUUCAGAAGUCUCUGCCAUUCUGUCAUUUCACAUCAGAUGUUGUCCCCCCACCCCUUAAUUUUGCACUUGAAGAUGCUUUUUUUCCCCCUGAAACAUUACUAUACUGAGCAGAAUAGAUGUUCUUCCUUUGGUACUGUGCCUUUGUGUAAAGUUUGUAUUUCCCUAUUAGGAGUCACCAACAUGGACUGUCCAUAGGUAGUGCUUAGUAACCCUGCAGCUAAUCGGUAUUACCAUGACUGCACAUGUGUAUUGCUUUGGGCUUCUCAAGACUCACUGGACACUCAAUGGUUAAUUUUGACAGUCAACUGUACACAGUGUGUGAGCAUGUAAAAAGUGGGUCUUGACAAGGAGCUGUUGUCUUGAGGGCAGGCCUGUAAGGGAUGUCCCUAACUGGGUUAAUUGAGGUGAAUAUGGGUGACAGCACUUCAUGGACUGAGUCAUGGACUGAAUGAAGAGGAGAGAAAGUGCUGAGCACAUGCAAGCAUGCAUGCAUUAAUUCACUGUGGUCUGCUAGAGCCUCUGGAUACCAUGUGACUCACACCUUGACUCCCCACAAUGAUGGACUGUAAUCUAGGAUUGUGAGCCAUUAGCCUCCCCUUCAAAUUGCUUUCUUCAAGGAAUUUUGCCACUUUGAAGAGGAAAGGAAAUUGGAGGGGAAUAGCUGAGAAGUUGAGGGGCCAACAGAGUGACUCUUGUAAGAUUUUCAGAAGUAAAAUGGCUGGGUUGGAUGUUUGAAGGAUGUGAUGGACCAGAUCUCCAGACUUAGGAAGCAAUGUCUUAGGUCACAUGGUGGUGACCUAUCACAGAAGGGCUGCAGCUGUCUGCCAAGGUUAGCGACAGAUAAAGGCAAACAGGCUUCAUUGUUAAAUAUCACUUGAGACUGAUGGCUGGUGAGACCCUGCUAGUAUCUCCCACUUCCCAUCUUAACCUGUUUGUGACCCAUUGACAUUUUCCCAGAAUACAGCUCUACAGAAGAGAGCAAAGACGAAUGCCUCAGACUAGGAGAAACACCGCUGACUAGAACAAAACACCAAGGAGAGGCCAGCCCAGCAAAGAAUGGAGGGAAUUUAAAAGACCCAGUGAGCGUAUUGGAUGGGCUCAGAUGCUUUCUGGACAAUGAUUUGGAGGUCAGCAGGAAACAGAGUACAAAGGGCAGGUUAUAACCAAGGCUCUUAGCCUUGGGGUGACAAGGUGCUGAGAGAACCAGUGAUUCCUUAGAUAGUCAGGAGGAAGGAUGAUGGCAACUGGGCAGGCACUAGGAUUGCUCCUGAGGGCAACAAUGUUUCAGCAAUGUCUGUGCCAGCCUCUAUUUUAGAGGAGAAAGCUGCAGGGAUGCAUCUACUGUGAAACUGUCAGGCACUGCUGCUCCCAAGUCCCUGUGUCAAAACUUGCCAACUCUGCCAAAAAAAAAAAAAAAAAGAUCCAGAGUAAAAGAUACAGUUGAUGUACUGUGUCUGCCUUCUGGGUUGACGCUUAUGUAAAAUAUCGGUCAAAGAUAGAAAAAGAGCCAAAAAUAUGACAGUAGGGAUUAAAUGUCAAGCCAGAUGUAUCUUGCGUGACCAUUUCUGGAUGCUGCAGACCAGCAUGCUAUCUUUGGGUUGGAAGCAUGUUCAUCUAUUUGGUUUUUUUUUUUUUUUUUUUUUUUAACUUGAGAGAUUUGAGAACGCCAUUAAAAACCGAUAGUUCAAGCUGAGGUAGAGCUCAGGGACAGAACAUAGGCUUAGUCUGAGAGAGGUCCCAGGUGUCCAAUUACACACACACACACACACACACACACACACACACACACACACACUCAACUACCAGAUUUUAUAGUUCUUUUUCCCCCUAAAUUUUAAUGUGGGAGAACAAAGAUUAAUUUUCUGAUUUUCAAUUUCUGGAAAUCUCUAGAGCAAUCAAAACAAUUACUAUUUAGAAUAAAAGUUGCAAACCAAAGUAUGAUUUUUCAAAUGAGGGGAUAAUUACUAUGAAGCACUGUCAUGAUGAAAGUCUUUUUGAUUCUUUUGAAUCUCUGGUAGUUCUUGAAAAUUUCAUUUUAUUCUUACUUUGUGUGUGUGUGUGUGUGUGUGUGUGUGUGUGUGUGUGUGUGUGUGUGUGUGUGUGCGGUUGCCUAUGGAAGCUAGAUGAAGGUAUUUCAUGGAGCUGGUAUUAGGGGCAGUCGUGAGCCUUCUGUCCUGUGUAUCAGACGUGGGAACUGAACUCAUAUAUAUUGCAAGAGUGGUUAAAAACUCUAAGACAUCUUUGCAGCGCCCCCAGCUUUUGGUAAAUCUUGGUAAGUUCCUUCAUGUGCAUUGAAUUAUGACUACUGUAUUCUGAAAGUUUCUUCAUGGGAAGUCCAUACUCAACUGCAUAAUAUAAAUUAGAAAUAGUUAGGAAAACCUACUUUGAGGCAAUUCUUGACCACUCCAAUAUUUUGUAUUUAGUCAAACUCACAAGUCAACAUGGGACCCCAUUGUUCUGACUUCUGUCCGUUCCAGGGCCAAGAACAAAGCAACAAGUACUUCCUGCUUUCCAGAGAAGGGGUACAGAGACUAGACUCACAGAGAGCACAGCAAGAUGGGUUGUAUCACUGUCAACCCCUCCACCCACUUUCAGCCUGGCCAAGACAGAAUUAGUCCUUUGAAAGCUGUACCAGAAGGACCCACAAUGUAGAGGACAAACAGUUAAAGAUGGUGGUUGUGUCAUCUCACGGGGCGGUACUUGUGGGUAAAUACACACAUUCACGUGUUUACGCACAUACACAAAUGCACAUGUGCACCCGUGGGAGACAAAUGCGUGCAGAACUUGAGGAGAUUGUUCAUACACGAGGUAUCAAGAAAGCCAGCCUCCGUCUCAUUUUCCACCUGACUAUUUCUUGAGUUUUAGAAAUUUAUCAACCUAUUUGUGCCAGUUUUCUGUCACCAUAAGAAAGAUAUGGCCAACUCAUAAAGAAGGGGAACUUUCAAUUUAAGACCACCGGGCCCAUGGCAAGGUUGAAUAUCACUGCAGGAGGACAUGAGGCUGAAAACUGUGUACUUUCUGAACAGAAAAUUUAAAACUAAAUGAGGACAGGUUUGGGUCCCACAAUCUCCUCUGAGGGUACCCCUAGCACCUCCUACAAGGCCCCAUGAGUGAAAAGUUCUGUUCUUUUCAGCAUAGCUAAUUAAAAUACUUGG